RNAcentral lists this ribosomal RNA (460 nucleotides) under uncultured bacterium. RNAcentral's name for it is "partial 16S ribosomal RNA". It matches the Rfam family "Bacterial small subunit ribosomal RNA", at positions 338 to 795 of the family's 1533-position model. The record is from RNAcentral.
CCUACGGGAGGCAGCAGUGAGGAAUAUUGGUCAAUGGGCGCGAGCCUGAACCAGCCAAGUAGCGUGAAGGAUGACUGCCCUACGGGUUGUAAACUUCUUUUAUAAAGGAAUAAAGUGAAGCACGUGUGCCUUUUUGUAUGUACUUUAUGAAUAAGGAUCGGCUAACUCAGUGCCAGCAGCCGCGGUAAUACGGAGGAUCCGAGCGUUAUCCGAAUUUGUUGGGUUUAAAGGGAGCGUAGAUGGGUUGUUAAGUCAGUUGUGAAAGUUUGCGGCUCAACCGUAAAAUUGCAAUUGAUACUGGCAGUCUGGAGUACAGUUGAGGUAGGCGGAAUUCAAGGUGUAGCGGUGAAAUGCUUAGAGAUCACGAAGAACUCCGAUUGCGAAGGCAGCUUACUAAACUGCCACUGACAUUGAUGCUCGAAAGUGUGGGUAGCAAACAGGAUUAGAUACCCGAGUAGUC